GUGACUGCGUACCUUUUGUAUAAUGGGUCAGCGACUUAUAUUCUGUAGCAAGGUUAACCGAAUAGGGGAGCCGAAGGGAAACCGAGUCUUAACUGGGCGUUAAGUUGCAGGGUAUAGACCCGAAACCCGGUGAUCUAGCCAUGGGCAGGUUGAAGGUUGGGUAACACUAACUGGAGGACCGAACCGACUAAUGUUGAAAAAUUAGCGGAUGACUUGUGGCUGGGGGUGAAAGGCCAAUCAAACCGGGAGAUAGCUGGUUCUCCCCGAAAGCUAUUUAGGUAGCGCCUCGUGAAUUCAUCUCCGGGGGUAGAGCACUGUUUCGGCAAGGGGGUCAUCCCGACUUACCAACCCGAUGCAAACUGCGAAUACCGGAGAAUGUUAUCACGGGAGACACACGGCGGGUGCUAACGUCCGUCGUGAAGAGGGAAACAACCCAGACCGCCAGCUAAGGUCCCAAAGUCAUGGUUAAGUGGGAAACGAUGUGGGAAGGCCCAGACAGCCAGGAUGUUGGCUUAGAAGCAGCCAUCAUUUAAAGAAAGCGUAAUAGCUCACUGGUCGAGUCGGCCUGCGCGGAAGAUGUAACGGGGCUAAACCAUGCACCGAAGCUGCGGCAGCGACGCUUAUGCGUUGUUGGGUAGGGGAGCGUUCUGUAAGCCUGCGAAGGUGUGCUGUGAGGCAUGCUGGAGGUAUCAGAAGUGCGAAUGCUGACAUAAGUAACGAUAAAGCGGGUGAAAAGCCCGCUCGCCGGAAGACCAAGGGUUCCUGUCCAACGUUAAUCGGGGCAGGGUGAGUCGACCCCUAAGGCGAGGCCGAAAGGCGUAGUCGAUGGGAAACAGGUUAAUAUUCCUGUACUUGGUGUUACUGCGAAGGGGGGACGGAGAAGGCUAUGUUGGCCGGGCGACGGUUGUCCCGGUUUAAGCGUGUAGGCUGGUUUUCCAGGCAAAUCCGGAAAAUCAAGGCUGAGGCGUGAUGACGAGGCACUACGGUGCUGAAGCAACAAAUGCCCUGCUUCCAGGAAAAGCCUCUAAGCAUCAGGUAACAUCAAAUCGUACCCCAAACCGACACAGGUGGUCAGGUAGAGAAUACCAAGGCGCUUGAGAGAACUCGGGUGAAGGAACUAGGCAAAAUGGUGCCGUAACUUCGGGAGAAGGCACGCUGAUAUGUAGGUGAAGUCCCUCGCGGAUGGAGCUGAAAUCAGUCGAAGAUACCAGCUGGCUGCAACUGUUUAUUAAAAACACAGCACUGUGCAAACACGAAAGUGGACGUAUACGGUGUGACGCCUGCCCGGUGCCGGAAGGUUAAUUGAUGGGGUCAGCGCAAGCGAAGCUCUUGAUCGAAGCCCCGGUAAACGGCGGCCGUAACUAUAACGGUCCUAAGGUAGCGAAAUUCCUUGUCGGGUAAGUUCCGACCUGCACGAAUGGCGUAAUGAUGGCCAGGCUGUCUCCACCCGAGACUCAGUGAAAUUGAACUCGCUGUGAAGAUGCAGUGUACCCGCGGCAAGACGGAAAGACCCCGUGAACCUUUACUAUAGCUUGACACUGAACAUUGAGCCUUGAUGUGUAGGAUAGGUGGGAGGCUUUGAAGUGUGGACGCCAGUCUGCAUGGAGCCGACCUUGAAAUACCACCCUUUAAUGUUUGAUGUUCUAACGUUGACCCGUAAUCCGGGUUGCGGACAGUGUCUGGUGGGUAGUUUGACUGGGGCGGUCUCCUCCUAAAGAGUAACGGAGGAGCACGAAGGUUGGCUAAUCCUGGUCGGACAUCAGGAGGUUAGUGCAAUGGCAUAAGCCAGCUUGACUGCGAGCGUGACGGCGCGAGCAGGUGCGAAAGCAGGUCAUAGUGAUCCGGUGGUUCUGAAUGGAAGGGCCAUCGCUCAACGGAUAAAAGGUACUCCGGGGAUAACAGGCUGAUACCGCCCAAGAGUUCAUAUCGACGGCGGUGUUUGGCACCUCGAUGUCGGCUCAUCACAUCCUGGGGCUGAAGUAGGUCCCAAGGGUAUGGCUGUUCGCCAUUUAAAGUGGUACGCGAGCUGGGUUUAGAACGUCGUGAGACAGUUCGGUCCCUAUCUGCCGUGGGCGCUGGAGAACUGAGGGGGGCUGCUCCUAGUACGAGAGGACCGGAGUGGACGCAUCACUGGUGUUCGGGUUGUCAUGCCAAUGGCACUGCCCGGUAGCUAAAUGCGGAAGAGAUAAGUGCUGAAAGCAUCUAAGCACGAAACUUGCCCCGAGAUGAGUUCUCCCUGACUCCUUGAGAGUCCUGAAGGAACGUUGAAGACGACGACGUUGAUAGGCCGGGUGUGUAAGCGCAGCGAUGCGUUGAGCUAACCGGUACUAAUGAACCGUGAGGCUUAACCUUACAACGCCGAAG
Molecule: ribosomal RNA, 2364 nt
Filed under: Escherichia coli
Lineage: Bacteria; Pseudomonadati; Pseudomonadota; Gammaproteobacteria; Enterobacterales; Enterobacteriaceae
Description: partial 23S ribosomal RNA
Rfam family: Bacterial large subunit ribosomal RNA
Source: RNAcentral